UACGUAGGGGGCAAGCGUUGUCCGGAUUUAUUGGGCGUAAAGAGCGUGUAGGCGGCCACACAGGUCUGCUGUGAAAACUCGAGGCUCAACCUCGAGCUGUCGGUGGAAACCGUGUGGCUAGAGUCCGGAAGAGGAGAGUGGAAUUCCUGGUGUAGCGGUGAAAUGCGCAGAUAUCAGGAAGAACACCCGUGGCGAAGGCGGCUCUCUGGGACGGUACUGACGCUGAGACGCGAAAGCGUGGGGAGCGAACAGG
RNAcentral lists this ribosomal RNA (253 nucleotides) under uncultured bacterium. Its description in RNAcentral is "partial 16S ribosomal RNA". It matches the Rfam family "Bacterial small subunit ribosomal RNA", at positions 524 to 776 of the family's 1533-position model. The record is from RNAcentral.